UACGUAGGGUGCAAGCGUUAAUCGGAAUUACUGGGCGUAAAGCGUGCGCAGGCGGUUAUGUAAGUCAGAUGUGAAAUCCCCGGGCUCAACCUGGGAAUGGCAUUUGAGACUGCAUGGCUAGAGUGUGUCAGAGGGGGGUAGAAUUCCACGUGUAGCAGUGAAAUGCGUAGAGAUGUGGAGGAAUACCGAUGGCGAAGGCAGCCCCCUGGGAUAACACUGACGCUCAUGCACGAAAGCGUGGGGAGCGAACAGG
RNAcentral lists this ribosomal RNA (253 nucleotides) under uncultured bacterium. RNAcentral's name for it is "partial 16S ribosomal RNA". It matches the Rfam family "Bacterial small subunit ribosomal RNA", at positions 524 to 776 of the family's 1533-position model. The record is from RNAcentral.